GACGAAUGCUGGCGGCGUGCCUAAUACAUGCAAGUCGAACGCUUCUUUCCUCCCGAGUGCUUGCACUCAAUUGGAAAGAGGAGUGGCGGACGGGUGAGUAACACGUGGGUAACCUACCCAUCAGAGGGGGAUAACACUUGGAAACAGGUGCUAAUACCGCAUAACAGUUUAUGCCGCAUGGCAUAAGAGUGAAAGGCGCUUUCGGGUGUCGCUGAUGGAUGGACCCGCGGUGCAUUAGCUAGUUGGUGAGGUAACGGCUCACCAAGGCCACGAUGCAUAGCCGACCUGAGAGGGUGAUCGGCCACACUGGGACUGAGACACGGCCCAGACUCCUACGGGAGGCAGCAGUAGGGAAUCUUCGGCAAUGGACGAAAGUCUGACCGAGCAACGCCGCGUGAGUGAAGAAGGUUUUCGGAUCGUAAAACUCUGUUGUUAGAGAAGAACAAGGACGUUAGUAACUGAAACGUCCCCCGACG
This 476-nucleotide ribosomal RNA is filed under the name Enterococcus faecalis. RNAcentral's name for it is "bacterial SSU rRNA". It matches the Rfam family "Bacterial small subunit ribosomal RNA", at positions 28 to 474 of the family's 1533-position model. Lineage: Bacteria; Bacillati; Bacillota; Bacilli; Lactobacillales; Enterococcaceae. The record is from RNAcentral.